AUUGAACGCUGGCGGCAGGCUUAACACAUGCAAGUCGAGCGGGGUGAUGGUGCUUGCACUAUCACUUAGCGGCGGACGGGUGAGUAAUGCUUAGGAAUCUGCCUAUUAGUGGGGGACAACAUCUCGAAAGGGAUGCUAAUACCGCAUACGUCCUACGGGAGAAAGCAGGGGAUCACUUGUGACCUUGCGCUAAUAGAUGAGCCUAAGUCGGAUUAGCUAGUUGGUGGGGUAAAGGCCUACCAAGGCGACGAUCUGUAGCGGGCCUGAGAGGAUGAGCCGGCACACUGGGAAUGAGACACGGACCAGACUCCUACGGGAGGCAGCAGUGGGGAAUAUUGGACAAUGGGGGGAACCCUGAUCCAGCCAUGCCGCGUGUGUGAAGAAGGCCUUAUGGUUGUAAAGCACUUUAAGCGAGGAGGAGGCUCUUUUGGUUAAUACCCAAGAUGAGUGGACGUUACUCGCAGAAUAAGCACCGGCUAACUCUGUGCCAGCCGCCGCGGUAA
Molecule: ribosomal RNA, 503 nt
Filed under: uncultured bacterium
Lineage: Bacteria
Description: partial 16S ribosomal RNA
Rfam family: Bacterial small subunit ribosomal RNA
Source: RNAcentral